RNAcentral lists this ribosomal RNA (393 nucleotides) under uncultured bacterium. RNAcentral's name for it is "bacterial SSU rRNA". It matches the Rfam family "Bacterial small subunit ribosomal RNA", at positions 29 to 418 of the family's 1533-position model. The record is from RNAcentral.
AGCGAACGCUGGCGGCGUGCCUAACACAUGCAAGUCGAGCGUGAAAGUCCUUCGGGAUGAGUAAAGCGGCGUCCGGGUGAGUAACACGUAGGUAAUCUACCUUAGAGUAUGGGAUAACCUGCCGAAAGGCGGGCUAAUACCGUAUAGAGCGAGAUAGAUGUAAAGUCUGUUUCGGGAAAGGGAUAAACCUCGCUCUAAGAUGAGCCUGCGUCCCAUUAGCUAGUUGGUAAGGUAACGGCUUACCAAGGCAGUGAUGGGUAGCUGGUCUGAGAGGAUGAUCAGCCACACUGGCACUGAAACACGGGCCAGACUCCUACGGGAGGCAGCAGUGGGGAAUAUUGCGCAAUGGACGAAAGUCUGACGCAGCAACGCCGCGUGAGUGAAGAGGCCUGG